CAGUAGCCGCGGUAAUACGAGGGGUGCAAGCGUUAUUCGGAUUGAUUGGGUGUAAAGGGUGUGCAGACGGCUUAUUAAGUCACUUGUUAAAUUCUUCGGCCUAACUGAAGGUCUGCAAGUGAUACUGAUGAGCUAGAGGGUGGAAGAGAGAAGUGGAAUUCUUGGAGUAGCGGUAAAAUGCGUAGAUCUCGAGAGGAACACCAAUGGCGAAGGCAGCUUCUUGGUCCAUUCCUGACGUUCAUACACGAAAGCGUGGGGAGCAAACAGGAUUAGAUACCCCAGUAGUCCCUGUCUCUUAUAC
This 301-nucleotide ribosomal RNA is filed under the name uncultured bacterium. RNAcentral's name for it is "partial 16S ribosomal RNA". It matches the Rfam family "Bacterial small subunit ribosomal RNA", at positions 509 to 807 of the family's 1533-position model. The record is from RNAcentral.